This 815-nucleotide ribosomal RNA is filed under the name Enterococcus hirae. RNAcentral describes it as "bacterial SSU rRNA". It matches the Rfam family "Bacterial small subunit ribosomal RNA", at positions 10 to 796 of the family's 1533-position model. Lineage: Bacteria; Bacillati; Bacillota; Bacilli; Lactobacillales; Enterococcaceae. The record is from RNAcentral.
AGUUUGAUCCUGGCUCAGGACGAACGCUGGCGGCGUGCCUAAUACAUGCAAGUCGAACGCUUCUUUUUCCACCGGAGCUUGCUCCACCGGAAAAAGAGGAGUGGCGAACGGGUGAGUAACACGUGGGUAACCUGCCCAUCAGAAGGGGAUAACACUUGGAAACAGGUGCUAAUACCGUAUAACAAUCGAAACCRCAUGGUUUYGAUUUGAAAGGCGCUUUCGGGUGUCGCUGAUGGAUGGACCCGCGGUGCAUUAGCUAGUUGGUGAGGUAACGGCUCACCAAGGCGACGAUGCAUAGCCGACCUGAGAGGGUGAUCGGCCACAUUGGGACUGAGACACGGCCCAAACUCCUACGGGAGGCAGCAGUAGGGAAUCUUCGGCAAUGGACGAAAGUCUGACCGAGCAACGCCGCGUGAGUGAAGAAGGUUUUCGGAUCGUAAAACUCUGUUGUUAGAGAAGAACAAGGAUGAGAGUAACUGUUCAUCCCUUGACGGUAUCUAACCAGAAAGCCACGGCUAACUACGUGCCAGCAGCCGCGGUAAUACGUAGGUGGCAAGCGUUGUCCGGAUUUAUUGGGCGUAAAGCGAGCGCAGGCGGUUUCUUAAGUCUGAUGUGAAAGCCCCCGGCUCAACCGGGGAGGGUCAUUGGAAACUGGGAGACUUGAGUGCAGAAGAGGAGAGUGGAAUUCCAUGUGUAGCGGUGAAAUGCGUAGAUAUAUGGAGGAACACCAGUGGCGAAGGCGGCUCUCUGGUCUGUAACUGACGCUGAGGCUCGAAAGCGUGGGGAGCAAACAGGAUUAGAUACCCUGGUAGUCC